CCUACGGGUGGCUGCAGUGAGGAAUAUUGGUCAAUGGACGAGAGUCUGAACCAGCCAAGUAGCGUGAAGGAUGACUGCCCUAUGGGUUGUAAACUUCUUUUAUCUGGGAAUAAAAUGUUCCACGUGUGGGAUUUUGUAUGUACCAUAUGAAUAAGGAUCGGCUAACACCGUGCCAGCAGUCGCGGUAAUACGGAGGAUCCGAGCGUUAUCCGGAUUUAUUGGGUUUAAAGGGAGCGUAGGUGGAUUGUUAAGUCAGUUGUGAAAGUUUGCGGCUCAACCGUAAAAUUGCAGUUGAAACUGGCAGUCUUGAGUACAGUAGAGGUGGGCGGAAUGCGUGGUGUAGCGGUGAAAUGCUUAGAUAUCACGAAGAACUCCGAUUGCGAAGGCAGUUCACUGGACUGCAACUGACACUGAGGCUCGAAAGUGUGGGUAUCAAACAGGAUUAGAUACCCUUGUAGUC
Molecule: ribosomal RNA, 460 nt
Filed under: uncultured bacterium
Lineage: Bacteria
Description: partial 16S ribosomal RNA
Rfam family: Bacterial small subunit ribosomal RNA
Source: RNAcentral